AGCGAACGCUGGCGGCAGGCUUAACACAUUCAAGUCGAACGCAUCCUUCGGGGUGAGUGGCAGACGGGUGAGUAACACGUGGGAACGUACCCUUCGAUCUGGGAUAACUUCGGGAAACUGGAGCUAAUACCGGAUACGCCCUUUUGGGGAAAGGUUUACUGUCGAAGGAUCGGCCCGCGUCUGAUUAGCUAGUUGGUGGGGUAACGGCCUACCAAGGCGACGAUCAGUAGCUGGUCUGAGAGGAUGAUCAGCCACACUGGGACUGAGACACGGCCCAGACUCCUACGGGAGGCAGCAGUGGGGAAUAUUGGACAAUGGGCGCAAGCCUGAUCCAGCCAUGCCGCGUGAGUGAUGAAGGCCUUAGGGUUGUAAAGCUCUUUUGUCCGGGACGAUAAUGACGGUACCGGAAGAAUAAGCCCCGGCUAACUUCGUG
This 433-nucleotide ribosomal RNA is filed under the name uncultured bacterium. RNAcentral's name for it is "partial 16S ribosomal RNA". It matches the Rfam family "Bacterial small subunit ribosomal RNA", at positions 29 to 507 of the family's 1533-position model. The record is from RNAcentral.